UCAGACACGACUUAGCGACUAAACCACCACCACCACCACCACCAGGGACUCCUAGAAGCCGUCCAGUGGAUAUUUACUGGGACAGUCAAGGGAGGAGCCACUCUGACUGAACCACCGGAGGAUCUGGUGGGGUGGGGGCCUGGCUAAUCUGCGGACAGUGUGUCUCUCCCCGCCCGGAGAUCCCCAGGCUGGGUGGGGUGGGAGGAGCCCAGGCCCCUUCUCUGCCCAGGGUCUCUGCCUGGGCCUUACAGAUUGGGAAAGCUGGUGCCUUUGCCCGUGCACUGCCCUCCCCCAAACCCUUCUCGCCUUGGUGAACGCUGGAGCCAGCGCUACACUCAGCUACAGAGCACCACACCCUCCGGAAUGCCUUCUCUGCGAGCCUCUACCACCAGCUCCACUCUCAGCCUCACUUUCAGACCUCCCUCAGACGGGGGGACCCAAGCGCGUGCGCGGGGUCUGUCACUUGCUGCGAAAAGGCUUUGGGGCUGGGGAACCGCACGGGGCUCCGGGUGAAUGGCUGGUGCCUGGGAAGAUAGCUACAUGGACUUGCUACCAAACCACCAGGCUUUAAAUCUUACCACCUGCUACUGUGUGACCUUGGGUCUACCUAUCUUCUCAGGGCCUCAGUUUCCUCAUCUGAAAAUGAGUGGGAACUGUAAUAAUGAUCCUGUCUUCUAAGGCUGCAGUGAAGAUUGAACUGGGCAUGAGCAGUGCCUGCCACAGAGAACAGUGCUCGGUGUACGACAGUUGCCUAUGUUUUUACCUCCUGUGGGGAUGAUGAGGUCCACAGAUUUAGUGUGGAGAACAUGUUGCUGGCCAAAAUCUUGGCUUUCUCUACCCACUGAAGCCGAAUAAAAAAUAGAAUUUGGAG
Bubalus bubalis (water buffalo) is the source of this 871-nucleotide long non-coding RNA. RefSeq lists it as uncharacterized. The record is from RefSeq and is a predicted model, not a curated record. Lineage: Eukaryota; Metazoa; Chordata; Mammalia; Artiodactyla; Bovidae. The transcript is spliced from 2 exons.